AACGCACCUUGCGCUCCUUGGUAUUCCGAGGAGCAUGCCUGUUUGAGUGUCAUUAAAUUCUCAACCUUUAUUAACUUUUUGGUUAGUAAGUGGAUUGGAAGUGGGGGCAUGCUGGUUUCUUCAUUGAAAUAAACUCCCCUGAAAUGCAUUAGCUGGUUGCCUUGUGCGAACAUGUCUAUUGGUGUGAUAAUUAUCUACGCCGUGGGCUAUUUGCCGUUUAUAGCACUGCUUAUAAUCGUCUGUUCAUUCAGACAAUAUAUGACAAUUUGACCUCAAAUCAGGUAGGACUACCCGCUGAACUUAA
Molecule: unclassified non-coding RNA, 304 nt
Filed under: Camptobasidium sp.
Lineage: Eukaryota; Fungi; Basidiomycota; Microbotryomycetes; Kriegeriales; Camptobasidiaceae
Description: partial contains 5.8S ribosomal RNA, internal transcribed spacer 2, and large subunit ribosomal RNA
Rfam family: 5.8S ribosomal RNA (bases 1-52)
Source: RNAcentral